AAUGAACGCUGGCGGCAUGCCUUACACAUGCAAGUCGAACGGCAGCAUGACCUAGCUUGCUAGGUUGAUGGCGAGUGGCGAACGGGUGAGUAAUGCAUCGGAACGUGCCUUUUAGUGGGGGAUAACGUAGCGAAAGUUACGCUAAUACCGCAUAUUCUCUGAGGAGGAAAGCAGGGGACCUUCGGGCCUUGCGCUAGAAGAGCGGCCGAUGUCGGAUUAGCUAGUUGGUGAGGUAAAGGCUCGCCAAGGCAACGAUCCGUAGCGGGUCUGAGAGGAUGAUCCGCCACACUGGGACUGAGACACGGCCCAGACUCCUACGGGAGGCAGCAGUGGGGAAUUUUGGACAAAGGGCGCAAGCCUGAUCCAGCCAUGCCGCGUGAGUGAAGAAGGCCUUCGGGUUGUAAAGCUCUUUCGGCUGGGAAGAAAUCGCACCCUCUAAUACAGGGUGUGGAUGACGGUACCAGCAUAAGAAGCACCGGCUAACUACGUG
Molecule: ribosomal RNA, 490 nt
Filed under: uncultured bacterium
Lineage: Bacteria
Description: partial 16S ribosomal RNA
Rfam family: Bacterial small subunit ribosomal RNA
Source: RNAcentral